CUCCGGUUCCCGCCGCUAGUUCCACUUCGCCCGGCGGGAAUCGGCGCUGGGUCCUUCGGGAGAGGCGUCUGGGUCCCGCUCGGGGCAGGGGCUGUGACGUGGCAGUGCCUCCUUGGUUGGAUGUUCUCGAAACCAUAAAUGUUAAGGAAGUUUUAAUGGGUGAUCUUGUGAGUAGCUGCUAGAACCAGCUGGUGGCCAGAAGGUUGCCUUACAUAAUU
Pseudonaja textilis is the source of this 218-nucleotide non-coding RNA. Lineage: Eukaryota; Metazoa; Chordata; Lepidosauria; Squamata; Elapidae. The record is from RefSeq and is a predicted model, not a curated record.